CUGCAGGCUGCAAGUUUCACACUCUGAGACUGAAUCCCAUUAGCAUCGUUGGGGUCCUGGGGAGAGACAUUGAUUUAGAAGUAGCUGAAAUAAAGCACAGAAACAAACUGUUUUUAUUGCUUUAAACUGAGCCAGAAAUGACACCCUCACGUGUCCCCCCGGGAAAUCUGGGAUCCAGAACUCUCUGCAGUCAGUAAGAAUCUUUCCACUGGCUUUGGCCUAUGGACUAAACUUCCUAAAUUUCCAUGGCAUUUCUGGGACUAGAGUCUGAAAUUCACUUGCUUCCCUUGAACUUUCUCAUGUGUCCUUCUGGCCCGUAUAUAUACCUUAUAUAUACAUAUAGCAUAUGGAAAAUCAGGAAUGUGUGGAACUGCUGUGAAUCCCUCCCAAUUACUGAGGACUUUGUGAGCUGCAGACAAUCGAGCACGACAAACCAGCAGAUCGCCUUUCUUCCAACUGGGUUGUCCUUUUGUUUCCAGAAAAUGGUGUGAAGUGUAAUUUUUUUUUUCUUUUGGCCACCUUGUUUAUUUAAGCGCGUUUGUCAAAACCUACCGCAGAACGGUUAUUCCAGCUUGAAGAAAUCCUUCCGGGUCAGAAAGCCCUUUGGAUGGCUUGGAUCCAACUGCUCUCCUUCCCAUUCCUCCCUUUUAAGUUCUGAGAUUCUGUCAAAGUCUGGGCUGAAUUCCUGAGGCCAGUUGGAGUGUAGCUGUUCUUUUGUUCCCCGCUGCCAACCACAGAAAGCGACAUUCACCAGUUUUUGUAGUCAAUGGCUUUAAAACCCCUAUGUCUCAUUGCUUCCUUUGAAUGACCAGAUGCAAAGCGGUGUAUUAAACCUAGGAAUGACUUUACAGAG
Molecule: long non-coding RNA, 853 nt
Organism: Lagopus muta (rock ptarmigan)
Lineage: Eukaryota; Metazoa; Chordata; Aves; Galliformes; Phasianidae
Exons: 3
Source: RefSeq, a predicted model, not a curated record